Molecule: ribosomal RNA, 460 nt
Filed under: uncultured bacterium
Lineage: Bacteria
Description: partial 16S ribosomal RNA
Rfam family: Bacterial small subunit ribosomal RNA
Source: RNAcentral
CCUACGGGCGGCAGCAGUGAGGAAUAUUGGUCAAUGGACGAGAGUCUGAACCAGCCAAGUAGCGUGAAGGAUGACUGCCCUAUGGGUUGUAAACUUCUUUUAUAUGGGAAUAAAAUGUUCCACGUUUGGGAUUUUGUAUGUACCUUAUGAAUAAGGAUCGGCUAACUCCGUGCCAGCAGCCGCGGUAAUACGGAGGUGCCGAGCGUUAUCCGGUUUUAUUGGGUUUAAAGGGAGCGUAGGUGGAUUGUUAAGUCAGUUGUGAAAGUUUGCGGCUCAACCGUAAAAUUGCAGUUGAAACUGGCAGUCUUGAGUACAGUAGAGGUGGGCGGAAUUCGUGGUGUAGCGGUGAAAUGCUUAGAUAUCACGAAGAACUCCGAUUGCGAAGGCAGUUCACUGGACUGCAACUGACACUGAGGCUCGAAAGUGUGGGUAUCAAACAGGAUUAGAUACCCUAGUAGUC